GAGUGGCUAGCUUAUGGUUAGCCUUUUGCCAAGUGUAGAUAACUUGGAGAAUAAGUGGUGGGCAAGACCGGUGCCAGCAGCCGCGGUAACCCCGGCGCCACUAGUGGGGAUCACGUUUAUUGGGUCUAAAGGAUCCGUAGCCGACUCUUUAAGUCUUUUGUGAAACUGUUAGGCUUAACCUAACAACGUGCAAGAGAUACUGGAGAGUUAGAGACCGGGAAGAGGUAGAGGUACUCCUUGGGAAGCGGUAAAAUGUUAUAAUCCUUGGAUGACCACCUAUGGCGAAGGCAUCUAUCUAGAACGGUUCUGACGGUGAGGGAUGAAGGCUGGGAGAACGAUCGGGAUUAGAUAUCGAAAAUCCUGUAAGAAAGUUUUUCUGAAAUUAUUUUUGCAAGAUCGAAAACUACUUUGCAAAAAUUAAUCCAGAUAAAUCAGGUUUUUUCGACUAAAUACCCCAGUAGCCCCAGCAGUAAACGCUGAGAACUAGGUGUUGCAUGUUCUCCGUGAACAUGCAGUGCCGGAGCGAAGGUGUUAAGUUCUCCACCUGGGAAGUACGGCCGCAAGACUGAAACUUAAAGGAAUUGGCGGGGGCGCACCACAACGAGUGCUGCGUGCGGUUUAAUUUAACUCAACACAGAGAAUCUCACCAUGGGCGACGGCAGUAUGAAGGUCAGAUUAAAGGUCUUACCUAACGAGCCGAGAGAUGCUGCAUGGCCGACGCCAGCUCGUGCCGUAGGGUGUCACGUUAAGUCGUGCAACGAGCAAGACCUGUAUCCUCAGUUGCCACCGAGUGCUUAGGCAUAAUCGAGCACACUGAGGAGACUGCCUUGGUAACAAGGAGGAAGGCGCAGGCAACGUUAGGUCUGUAUGGCUCUAAUCUCAUGGGCUACACGCGCGCUGCAAUGGUAAGGACAAUGGGAUACAACUCCGAAAGGAGAAGUCAAACCUCUAAACCUUAUCCUAGUUCGGAUUGAGGGCUGUAACUCGCCCUCAUGAGGCCGGAAUUCGUAGUAAUCAGAUUUUAACAGAGUCUGGGUGAAUAUGUCCCUG
RNAcentral lists this ribosomal RNA (1050 nucleotides) under uncultured euryarchaeote. Its description in RNAcentral is "bacterial SSU rRNA". It matches the Rfam family "Archaeal small subunit ribosomal RNA", at positions 383 to 1332 of the family's 1478-position model. The record is from RNAcentral. Lineage: Archaea; Methanobacteriati; Methanobacteriota.